Molecule: ribosomal RNA, 273 nt
Filed under: uncultured bacterium
Lineage: Bacteria
Description: partial 16S ribosomal RNA
Rfam family: Bacterial small subunit ribosomal RNA
Source: RNAcentral
GACGUAGGGCGCGAGCGUUGUCCGGAUUUAUUGGGCGUAAAGAGCUCGUAGGCGGUUCAUUGCGUCAACCGUGAAAUCCUGUGGCUCAACUACAGGUCUGCGGUUGAUACGGGUGGGCUGGAGUUCGGUAGGGGAGACUGGAAUUCCUGGUGUAGCGGUGAAAUGCGCAGAUAUCAGGAGGAACACCAGUGGCGAAGGCGGGUCUCUGGGCCGAUACUGACGCUGAGGAGCGAAAGCGUGGGGAGCGAACAGGAUUAGAAACCCCAGUAGUCC